CGCUGGCGGCGUGCUUAACACAUGCAAGUCGAACGGAAAGGCCCUUCGGGGUACUCGAGUGGCGAACGGGUGAGUAACACGUGGGUGAUCUGCCCUGCACUUUGGGAUAAGCCUGGGAAACUGGGUCUAAUACCGAAUAGGACCACGCGCUUCAUGGUGUGUGGUGGAAAGCUUUUGCGGUGUGGGAUGGGCCCGCGGCCUAUCAGCUUGUUGGUGGGGUAAUGGCCUACCAAGGCGACGACGGGUAGCCGGCCUGAGAGGGUGACCGGCCACACUGGGACUGAGAUACGGCCCAGACUCCUACGGGAGGCAGCAGUGGGGAAUAUUGCACAAUGGGCGCAAGCCUGAUGCAGCGACGCCGCGUGAGGGAUGACGGCCUUCGGGUUGUAAACCUCUUUCACCAGGGACGAAGCGCAAGUGACGGUACCUGGAGAAGAAGCACCGGCCAACUACGUGCCAGCAGCCGCGGUAAUACGUAGGGUGCGAGCGUUGUCCGGAAUUACUGGGCGUAAAGAGCUCGUAGGUGGUUUGUCGCGUUGUUCGUGAAAACUCACAGCUUAACUGUGGGCGUGCGGGCGAUACGGGCAGACUAGAGUACUGCAGGGGAGACUGGAAUUCCUGGUGUAGCGGUGGAAUGCGCAGAUAUCAGGAGGAACACCGGUGGCGAAGGCGGGUCUCUGGGCAGUAACUGACGCUGAGGAGCGAAAGCGUGGGGAGCGAACAGGAUUAGAUACCCUGGUAGUCCACGCCGUAAACGGUGGGUACUAGGUGUGGGUUCCUUCCUUGGGAUCCGUGCCGUAGCUAACGCAUUAAGUACCCCGCCUGGGGAGUACGGCCGCAAGGCUAAAACUCAAAGGAAUUGACGGGGGCCCGCACAAGCGGCGGAGCAUGUGGAUUAAUUCGAUGCAACGCGAAGAACCUUACCUGGGUUUGACAUGCACAGGACGCCGGCAGAGAUGUCGGUUCCCUUGUGGCCUGUGUGCAGGUGGUGCAUGGCUGUCGUCAGCUCGUGUCGUGAGAUGUUGGGUUAAGUCCCGCAACGAGCGCAACCCUUGUCCUAUGUUGCCAGCGGGUUAUGCCGGGGACUCGUAGGAGACUGCCGGGGUCAACUCGGAGGAAGGUGGGGAUGACGUCAAGUCAUCAUGCCCCUUAUGUCCAGGGCUUCACACAUGCUACAAUGGCCGGUACAAAGGGCUGCGAUGCCGUGAGGUGGAGCGAAUCCUUUCAAAGCCGGUCUCAGUUCGGAUCGGGGUCUGCAACUCGACCCCGUGAAGUCGGAGUCGCUAGUAAUCGCAGAUCAGCAACGCUGCGGUGAAUACGUUCCCGGGCCUUGUACACACCGCCCGUCACGUCAUGAAAGUCGGUAACACCCGAAGCCGG
This 1380-nucleotide ribosomal RNA is filed under the name Mycolicibacterium mucogenicum. RNAcentral describes it as "bacterial SSU rRNA". It matches the Rfam family "Bacterial small subunit ribosomal RNA". Lineage: Bacteria; Bacillati; Actinomycetota; Actinomycetes; Mycobacteriales; Mycobacteriaceae. The record is from RNAcentral.